CCUACGGGGGGCAGCAGUGGGGAAUAUUGCGCAAUGGGCGAAAGCCUGACGCAGCGACGCCGCGUGAGGGAUGAAGGUCUUCGGAUCGUAAACCUCUGUUAGCAGGGAAGAAAGGUCACUGUGCUAAUCAGCAGUGAAUUGACGGUACCUGCAAAGGACGCACCGGCCACAUCCGUGCCAGCAGCCGCGGUAAUAAGGAGGGUGCGAGCGUUAAUCGGAAUUACUGGGCGUAAAGCGCUCGUAGGCGGGAUGUCAAGUCAAGGGUGAAAUCCCCGCGCUCAACGUGGGAACUGCCUUUGAAACUGGCAGACUGGAGUGUGUGAGAGGAUAGUGGAAUUCCAGGUGUAGGAGUGAAAUCCGUAGAUAUCUGGAGGAACAUCAGUGGCGAAGGCGACUAUCUGGCACAUAACUGACGCUGAGGAGCGAAAGCGUGGGUAGCAAACAGGAUUAGAUACCCGUGUAGUC
Molecule: ribosomal RNA, 465 nt
Filed under: uncultured bacterium
Lineage: Bacteria
Description: partial 16S ribosomal RNA
Rfam family: Bacterial small subunit ribosomal RNA
Source: RNAcentral